Molecule: long non-coding RNA, 1115 nt
Organism: Homo sapiens (human)
Lineage: Eukaryota; Metazoa; Chordata; Mammalia; Primates; Hominidae
Product: long intergenic non-protein coding RNA 467
Source: Ensembl
GCGUGCGCGCGCUGUGACGUUCCCUACGCGGUCGGGCGUUGGGUUUCGCGGCGCUCGCCGCACUGGUUGUUCAGCACCUUCGGUCCGGUUGAGGUUGUCAAGUCGGACCAAACAGGUUGUUUCUCUGCAGUUUCCAACAUGGCAGGGAGGUUUAAUAGACAUGGAUAAGAAGUCCACUCACAGAAAUCCUGAAGAUGCCAGGGCUGGCAAAUAUGAAGGUAAACACAAACGAAAGAAAAGAAGAAAGCAAAACCAAAACCAGCACCGAUCCCGACAUAGAUCAGUGACGUCUUUUUCUUCAGAUGAUCCUAUGUUUCCUUCUUCCUCAUCAUCGUCUUCAGGAAGCCAGACAGAUUCAAGUAUUGAAGAUGCUGCCAAGGGAAAAAUUAAGAAGAAGAGAAGAGAGAAAACAAAUAAAUGGGAAAAAAGAAAGGUUAGUAAUUGUGAGUAAUAUAAGAAUAAGAUUUGGCUAUUAGAGGAUAUUGUACGUAUUAAUUAAGAAACAGAAUCUAUAAGGAAUUUGAAGAGAUAAAAGUCAAAGAUUGGUUAACAUGGUAGUUAACAUGGUGCUAAGCUUAUAGUGUCCUUUGCUGCUUUUCAAAUACUUCUCAGAAAACUAUGCAGACGGGUAAAACCUUAUAAUUACAAUUCUUUAGAUUCUUUUUAAUUUUGGUGUUAACAUAGUUAUAAAAUAGCCUAUGUGCUUUGAAAUAAAUGCAAGUAAUAGAGACAUAAAUUAAAUGAAAGGUAAAAUAGCUACACUCUUUUCUCUUUAUUUAAUUUCCCUAUGGGUAUCACUCAAGUAUUUGCUGUACAACCUUAGAUUUUUCCUCUGUGCACAUGGAAAUAAAUAAAAUAAAUAUAAAUAAAUAUGUAUAGUUUUAUGUACUAUAUAAUACACAUAUAAUUUUAUGCUAACAAAAAUAGUCUAUCAAUUUGCUUCUCUAAAUUUAUUUCAUAUAAUAGUUUAUGAACUAUGUGUAACAUAUAUAAAACAGACAAUAGUAAAGCAUCAUGAACCUAUUUAACUAGAACAUUACCAAUUAUGAUUAUCUUUCAGUAUUUUUCUUCCUCCUUCUAUUCACUUGCCUUCGCAUUAAAAGUAAUAUCCUAAA